Molecule: small RNA, 126 nt
Filed under: Algibacter lectus
Lineage: Bacteria; Pseudomonadati; Bacteroidota; Flavobacteriia; Flavobacteriales; Flavobacteriaceae
Also listed under: 1 other name
Description: 6S-Flavo RNA
Rfam family: 6S-Flavo RNA
Source: Rfam by way of RNAcentral
ACUCAACGUUAAUUCUUUAAAAAGGGUGAGUUUAAGUUGUAAAAGCAGGCUGCAACACUAAAUUUAUUUAGUGUUAGACAGAUCCUUGAUCAGCUUGUUAGCCCUAAACUUGUUUUUAAGGAGUUU